AUGAACGCUGGCGGCGUGCCUAAUACAUGCAAGUCGAGCGAACAGACGAGAGUGCUUGCACUCUCUGACGUUAGCGGCGGACGGGUGAGUAACACGUGGGUAACCUACCUAUAAGACUGGGAUAACUUCGGGAAACCGGAGCUAAUACCGGAUAAUAUUUAGCUUCGCAUGAAGCAAUAGUGAAAGACGGUUCUGCUGUCACUUAUAGAUGGACCCGCGGUGUAUUAGCUAGUUGGUGAGGUAACGGCUCACCAAGGCAACGAUACAUAGCCGACCUGAGAGGGUGAUCGGCCGCACUGGGACUGAGACACGGCCCAGACUCCUACGGGAGGCAGCAGUAGGGAAUCUUCCGCAAUGGACGAAAGUCUGACGGAGCAAUGCCGCGUGAGUGAAGAAGGUUUUCGGAUCGUAAAACUCUGUUGUAAGGGAAGAACAAGUACGUUAGUAACUGAACGUACCUUGACGGUACCUUACCAGAAAGCCACGGCUAACUACGUG
This 498-nucleotide ribosomal RNA is filed under the name uncultured bacterium. RNAcentral's name for it is "partial 16S ribosomal RNA". It matches the Rfam family "Bacterial small subunit ribosomal RNA", at positions 29 to 507 of the family's 1533-position model. The record is from RNAcentral.